Molecule: ribosomal RNA, 245 nt
Filed under: Rhodococcus sp. SI-4a
Lineage: Bacteria; Bacillati; Actinomycetota; Actinomycetes; Mycobacteriales; Nocardiaceae
Description: partial 16S ribosomal RNA
Source: RNAcentral
ACCGCUACUCUAUGGCGGCGUGCUUAAAUGACAUUCAACGGAAAAGAGACCCUUCGGGGGUACUCUCAGUGGCGAAGGGGUGAGUAAACGUGGGUGAUCUGCCCUGCACUCUGGGAUAAUUUUGCCCAAACUGGGUCUAAUACCGGAUAUGACUCCUGUCCAUGGGGGGGUUGGAAAGGUUUACUGGGCAGAUGGGCCCCGCCUAUCCUUGUUGGGGGGUAAGGCCUACCAGACAAAGACGUAAA